GGUACAUCCUCGUAGCUCGGCCCCGCCCCCCCUCUUGAGUCACACAGCAGAGUGUAAACUGUGACUGGCUGAUUCCGUUUGACUUCGUCUGAGAUCCUCGUGAUGGGGCUGAGGGUGACACAGUUGGAGGAAGAAAGCGCAAGAAUGAAAGUAAUUGGAAGAAGCGUGUGCGGAAAAAGAGAAGAAUGAUGGGACAGCCCUACAUUGGGAGGAGCAAGAAUGAAGAAGUCACCAAGGAGCCAAGGGUGAUGGGACCAAGAUGCCAGUCAGCUGCUUGUGAGAAAUCCUCCAAGCAUUACUGCAGUAAAAUUGGAGAGGCAGACAGGGAGAAGAUUUUUAAAAGCUUUUGGGGAAACAUCUGGGAAGAGAAAAGAAUGUAUGUGCGUGGUUUGGUAGAUGUCACCCCAGUACAGAGGAGAAGGGGGUCUGAAAAUUCAAGAAGGUCAUCAACUCUUGUUUUCUUUUUAAAAGUUGAUGGGGAGAGGAGGAGGGUGUGCAGGAAUUUGUUUUUGGCGACUGUUGGAAUAGGGGAGUGGUCUCUCCUUAACUGGGUGAAAGACACGGAUAGGACACAGAAGAAUCCCACAUCAUGCCACAGAGGUGAGACUCAUGAUUUCAUGAGGACCUUUCUGCAGGAUCUCCCUAAAGUGCCCUCCCACUACUGUAGGUCAUCCACAUCAAAACAAUACCUGGAGCCUGUUUUUCAGUCCAUGACUGACCUGCAUAAAGUGUACCAGAGUGCUGCUGAGGAGAAGAUGCUGAGACCGUUAUCAAGGCAGGUUUUCUCAGAGGAAUUUAAGCGGCAGAAUUUGGGGCUUUACCAUUCAAUGAAGGACCAGUGUAACACCUGCUGCUCCUUCAAGGCUAGAAACUUGCCAGAAUAUGAGUGGCAGAACCACUGUCUGAAAAAGGAAGAGGCCUGUGUACAAAAAGCACAGGACAAAAAUGAUGCAGAUAACAAGACCAUGGUUGUCUGCAUGGAUCUGCAAGCACUCCUCCUCUGCCCAAGUUUGAAAGCAUCUGCUCUCUAUUACAAGACAAAACUUGCCGUCCACAACUUUACACUAUAUGACAUGUCUUCACACAACGCCACUUGCUAUGUCUGGCAUGAAGGUGAGGGAGCUCUGUCUGCCAGUGAGUUUGCAUCCUGUGUCACCAAUUUCCCCUCUGACCAUAAUGAACAUGAGGAGUACAUUUUAUGGAGUGAUGGUUGUGGGUACCAAAACCGCAAUUCGGUGCUCAGCAAUGCUCUUCUGAAGUUUUCCAGAGAAAUGAAGAAGGUAGUCACCCAGAAGUUCCUGGAGAAGGGGCACACCCAGAUGGAAUGGAAUGUGACUCAGUGCACAGUGUCACAGGCGUCUGAGAAACCAGGAAAUCUAUGUCCCAGCUGAAUAUGUUGCCCUGAUGAAGAGCGUGCGGUCCAAGCCCAACCCAUAUGAAGUCAAAUAUGUGGACCAUAUGUUCUUCCAAGACUUCACCAAACUGAGGCUUUGCAAGUCUAUCCGCCCAGAGAUGAAGCCCGGUGACCCCACUGUCCAUGAUAUCAGAGCCAUCAGGUACAACAUCAAUGGGAUGAUGUACUUCAAGAUCCAGCACUCAGAUACCUGGACUCCAUUCUCCAAGCACCAGUUCCGACACACCACCUCAGACACGCCUGCAGUCACACCACUGUACACGGAGAGCCAGAAAAUCAAGGAGAUGAAAUACAAACACCUCCAAGACCUCAAGGAAGUCAUACCGAAGGACUUCCACAGCUUCUAUGACAAUCUAAAACACUAGGAAACACAC
This is an RNA transcript of Micropterus dolomieu (smallmouth bass), 1788 nucleotides long. RefSeq lists it as uncharacterized. The transcript has 3 exons. The record is from RefSeq and is a predicted model, not a curated record. NCBI's taxonomy places the organism in Eukaryota, Metazoa, Chordata, Actinopteri, Centrarchiformes, Centrarchidae.